RNAcentral lists this ribosomal RNA (253 nucleotides) under uncultured bacterium. RNAcentral's name for it is "partial 16S ribosomal RNA". It matches the Rfam family "Bacterial small subunit ribosomal RNA", at positions 524 to 776 of the family's 1533-position model. The record is from RNAcentral.
GACGUAGGGGGCCAGCGUUGUUCGGAAUUACUGGGUGUAAAGGGUUCGUAGGCGGUGCGGCAAGUCGGGAGUGAAAUCUCUGGGCUUAACUCAGAGGCUGCUUCCGAAACUGCUGUGCUUGAGUGUGGGAGAGGCGCGUGGAAUUGCAGGUGUAGCGGUGAAAUGCGUAGAUAUCUGCAGGAACACCCGUGGCGAAAGCGGCGCGCUGGACCACUACUGACGCUGAGGAACGAAAGCCAGGGGAGCAAACGGG